Molecule: ribosomal RNA, 460 nt
Filed under: uncultured bacterium
Lineage: Bacteria
Description: partial 16S ribosomal RNA
Rfam family: Bacterial small subunit ribosomal RNA
Source: RNAcentral
CCUACGGGUGACAGCAGUGAGGAAUAUUGGUCAAUGGCCGUAAGGCUGAACCAGCCAAGUAGCGUGAGGGAGGACUGCCCUAUGGGUUGUAAACCUCUUUUAUGCGGGGAUAAAGGUGUCCACGUGUGGAUGUUUGCAGGUACCGCAUGAAUAAGGACCGGCUAAUUCCGUGCCAGCAGCCGCGGUAAUACGGAGGAUCCGAGCGUUAUCCGGAUUUAUUGGGUUUAAAGGGAGCGUAGGUGGAUUGUUAAGUCAGUUGUGAAAGUUUGCGGCUCAACCGUAAAAUUGCAGUUGAAACUGGCAGUCUCGAGUACAGUAGAGGUGGGCGGAAUGCGUGGUGUAGCGGUGAAAUGCUUAGAUAUCACGAAGAACUCCGAUUGCGAAGGCAGCUCACUGGACUGCAACUGACACUGAGGCUCGAAAGUGUGGGUAUCAAACAGGAUUAGAUACCCUUGUAGUC